This 443-nucleotide ribosomal RNA is filed under the name uncultured bacterium. Its description in RNAcentral is "partial 16S ribosomal RNA". It matches the Rfam family "Bacterial small subunit ribosomal RNA", at positions 338 to 795 of the family's 1533-position model. The record is from RNAcentral.
CCUACGGGUGGCAGCAGUGGGGAAUAUUGGUCAAUGGGCGCAAGCCUGACCCAGCAACGCCGCGUGAAGGAAGAAGGCUUUCGGGUUGUAAACUUCUUUUUUCAGGGACGAAGCAAGUGACGGUACCUGACGAAUAAGCCACGGCUAACUACGUGCCAGCAGCCGCGGUAAUACGUAGGUGGCAAGCGUUAUCCGGAUUGACUGGGUGUAAAGGGCGUGUAGGCGGGACUGCAAGUCAGAUGUGAAAACUACGGGCUCAACCUGUUGACUGCAUUUGAAACUGGAGUUCUUGAGUACUGGAGAGGCAGACGGAAUUCCUGGUGUAGCGAUGAAAUGCGUAGAUAUUAGGAGGAACACCAGUGGCGAAGGCGGUCUGCUGGACAGCAACUGACGCUGAGGCGCGAAAGCGUGGGGAGCAAACAGGAUUAGAUACCCUAGUAGUC